UACGUAGGUGGCAAGCGUUGUCCGGAUUUACUGGGCGUAAAGAGCGCGCAGGCGGCUGGUCAAGUCCGAUGUGAAAGCUCCCGGUUUAGCUGGGAAACGGCAUCGGAAACUGAUCGGCUUGAAGGUGGGAGAGGGUAGUGGAAUUCCCGGUGUAGUGGUGAAAUGCGUAGAUAUCGGGAGGAACACCAGUGGCGAAGGCGACUACCUGGCCCACUCUUGACGCUGAGGCGCGAAAGCUAGGGGAGCGAACGGG
This 253-nucleotide unclassified non-coding RNA is filed under the name uncultured Chloroflexota bacterium. RNAcentral's name for it is "uncultured Chloroflexi bacterium contains 16S-23S intergenic spacer region". It matches the Rfam family "Bacterial small subunit ribosomal RNA", at positions 524 to 776 of the family's 1533-position model. Lineage: Bacteria; Bacillati; Chloroflexota. The record is from RNAcentral.